Molecule: transfer RNA, 82 nt
Filed under: Myotis lucifugus (little brown bat)
Lineage: Eukaryota; Metazoa; Chordata; Mammalia; Chiroptera; Vespertilionidae
Description: tRNA-Ser (GCT) (tRNA-Ser-GCT-3-1)
Rfam family: tRNA
About the family: Transfer RNA (tRNA) molecules are approximately 80 nucleotides in length. Their secondary structure includes four short double-helical elements and three loops (D, anti-codon, and T loops). Further hydrogen bonds mediate the characteristic L-shaped molecular structure. tRNAs have two regions of fundamental functional importance: the anti-codon, which is responsible for specific mRNA codon recognition, and the 3' end, to which the tRNAs corresponding amino acid is attached (by aminoacyl-tRNA synthetases). tRNAs cope with the degeneracy of the genetic code in two manners: having more than one tRNA (with a specific anti-codon) for a particular amino acid; and 'wobble' base-pairing, i.e. permitting non-standard base-pairing at the 3rd anti-codon position.
Source: Rfam by way of RNAcentral
GACGAGGUGGCUGAGUGGUUAAGGCGAUGGACUGCUAAUCCAUUGUGCUCUGCACGCGUGGGUUCGAAUCCCACCCUCGUCG